ACUGGGGCAAAAAGGAGCCUAACAAUUCUUUCUCUGUUCUCCCUGCCCCACAUCUACAAGUCAGAGGGAGAUAGAAGUGAUUAUAAAACCAGCUGACCAGGAAGGGACAGGCGACUUGCAGACUCAGGUGAACUUCUCAGCAUUGCAAUACCCCUGCUAGUGGUCCUGCUGCCCACACAUUAUGAGGGCCUGUCCCACGUAUAGACUGCCUUUCGAAAGCAGGCAGCAGACUAGAAGCUGUACAGGAACGUGCAGGUGGAUUUUUUAUUUGCCACUAACGAUACCUGCGAGGACUGAACUACUUCUACUAGGAACCAAACUCAGUACUUAG
RNAcentral lists this long non-coding RNA (331 nucleotides) under Bos indicus x Bos taurus (hybrid cattle). Its description in RNAcentral is "lncRNA (ENSBIXG00000021291.1)". The record is from RNAcentral. Lineage: Eukaryota; Metazoa; Chordata; Mammalia; Artiodactyla; Bovidae.